AUUCGUUACACAUAGUCUGCAGAGCCCCAUUCAUACUGGAUAAAUUUUAGUCGCAUCCGGUCCGUCAAAUGUCUUAUGAUCUAUAGAGCCCUUUUGAUUUUUCUAUGGCAACAUUUGCUAUGCUGACGUCAUUGCCACGUCAUUACUGUCAGUCAGACAGAAAUAAAAGAAAAAUGGAUGCCGUUCAGACGUACACGCAUUAUUUGGAACUGAAAAUUACGUAAUUUAUCGACCUGCUGGCUUGUAUUUGUUAUAAAUCAUAAAAAAAUUAUGGAAAACAUCAUGAACAAUAAUGAAACAAACCGAACCUUUAGCUACAAUAAUAAAAUGACCCCAUGACGCCAGUGGAACUACGUGGUUUUCUUUCAUGAUGAUUUGGUGAUACCAUAAUGGAAUUAGCCAAGUUUUCGCCGUAUUGGGUGCUAGAUGCCCCUUGGAGUUAAGCCCCAGUGCCACUAUACUACCUUACCAGUUAUGUGUGGGUGUUGUAGUCCUAAGACACCCCGGAGGUACAAAGGGCCUUCACAAACUCACGCCACGCCUUCCUAUCUUCAGCAACCCUCGUGACCUCGCUCCACCAGCUCAAACCUGCCACUCACAGCUCCUUUUCGACGGACCGCUUCC
This 624-nucleotide long non-coding RNA is filed under the name Leguminivora glycinivorella. RNAcentral describes it as "uncharacterized LOC125233117". The record is from RNAcentral. Lineage: Eukaryota; Metazoa; Arthropoda; Insecta; Lepidoptera; Tortricidae.